CCCUUAGAUGUUCUGGGCCGCACGCGCGCUACACUGAUGCAUUCAACGAGUCUAAAACCUGCUCUGAUAGGGGUGGGUAAUCUUUUGAAUGUGCAUCGUGAUUGGGAUAGAUGAUUGCAAUUUUUCAUCUUCAACGAGGAAUGCCUAGUAAACGCAAGUCAUCAGCUUGCAUUGAUUACGUCCCUGCCCUUUGUACACACCGCCCGUCGCUCCUACCGAUUGAAUGAUCCGAUGAAUAUCAUAGAUUGAGAGUAUAAGCAGGUUCGCCUGUCUUUGCUUCUCGGGAAGUGAAGUAAAUCUUAUCAUUUAGAGGAAGGAGAAGUCGUAACA
This 330-nucleotide ribosomal RNA is filed under the name uncultured eukaryote. RNAcentral's name for it is "partial 18S ribosomal RNA". It matches the Rfam family "Eukaryotic small subunit ribosomal RNA", at positions 1470 to 1796 of the family's 1831-position model. The record is from RNAcentral.